This 211-nucleotide long non-coding RNA is filed under the name Mytilus galloprovincialis (Mediterranean mussel). The record is from RNAcentral. Lineage: Eukaryota; Metazoa; Mollusca; Bivalvia; Mytilida; Mytilidae.
UGCUCAGUGAAAACCCCUGACAUUCUGUAAGCAAACUGACAAUCCAAUUCAAUCAAGAUUAGAGUUGAGAGCACCUGCCAUACAAGAUACACAGAAUUCAAACUAACAACCUCAGUGUUAACAUGCUAGUGAUAAAGUAGUUACACUACUAAAGUUCUUAGACCCAUCAGACACCCUUGGCUUUUUAAAUGCAAAACUCAACCAAAUAAGG